CAGAGUAUAGUGCUAAUCUAGUAGGACAUUUCCCUUACACCGAGAAAGAACCCGUGCGAAUCGAGUUAUUCUGA
RNAcentral lists this transfer RNA (74 nucleotides) under Scorpaena plumieri (spotted scorpionfish). RNAcentral describes it as "tRNA-Val". Lineage: Eukaryota; Metazoa; Chordata; Actinopteri; Perciformes; Scorpaenidae. The record is from RNAcentral.